This is a small nuclear RNA of Panthera pardus (leopard), 106 nucleotides long. The record is from Ensembl. Lineage: Eukaryota; Metazoa; Chordata; Mammalia; Carnivora; Felidae.
ACUUUUGUUUUGACAGCCUAUGCAAUAAAAUUGGAACCUUCCAGAUAGAUUAGCAUGGGCUCCACACAAGGAUGAUAGGCAAUUAAGUGAAGCAUUCCAUACAUUU